This 379-nucleotide unclassified non-coding RNA is filed under the name uncultured Pseudomonadota bacterium. RNAcentral's name for it is "uncultured proteobacterium contains 16S-23S intergenic spacer region". Lineage: Bacteria; Pseudomonadati; Pseudomonadota. The record is from RNAcentral.
UCCGGUUUAACACCGGCAGUCUCGUUAGAGUGCCCGGCCGAACCGCUGGCAACUAACGACAAGGGUUGCGCUCGUUGCGGGACUUAACCCAACAUCUCACGACACGAGCUGACAACAGCCAUGCAGCACCUGGACACCUGGUUCCCUUGCGGGCACAUCUCCAUCUCUGGAAACUUCCAGGGGGUUCCAACCCAGGUAAGGUUCUUCGCGUUGCGUCGAAUUGAACCACAUGCUCCGCCGCUUGUGCGGGCCCCCGUCAAUUCCUUUGAGUUUUAACCUUGCGGCCGUACUCCCCAGGCGGUCAACUUCACGCGUUAGCUACGGUACCCAGGAAUCGCUUCCCGAACACCCAGUUGACAUCGUUUAGGGCGUGGACUAC